ACAGAAAGAAAGGAGAGGCAGGGGAAGAGAGCCCCAACGGGAUUCCCCUGUCCCUUCUCAUUUUCUGUGCCCCUUUGGGGGGCUGUCCUGGCAGACCAUUCCUCCUAUGGCAACAAUAAGCCAGCAUCCUAUGACAUGGCUGACGAUGGAUGACGCUAUAAUGGCUUCAAGGCUCUGGAGCAGGCUGAACGUAAUCAUGCCAAGCACAGCAUCUGUGAUGUAGAAUUUACAUGUCCCAGAGAGAGAAAGAGCUGUAACGCAUAACCAAACCUCUGGACUAACAAGGAGUUUCAUGGCAGGAUUGUGCUGUAAUUUUUUGAUUUCUGUUUUCUGGCUGCGAAAUGGGAGGAUCCUGAGGUCAGGUCACCCCAACAUCACCCAUACCCUUGAGGCUGAGCAUCCAAGAGAUUUGCUUUUCCCACAGAAGGAAUAUGUCCCCUGAUGUAACAAUGCCUUCUUACUGCAAUCAUUUUUCCAGAAAUUGUCCUUACCUCCACAGACCAGGAAGAGAGUUUUAAGAACCCCUGCCCAAGGGGCAGAGCACCUGUCAAUCGACCACCAAUCCAUGUUCACUUUUGGCAGAAGCUUUUCUGAAGCUGUCGUAGAGUUUGAGCUUUCUAUGAAGGUGCGGUUCUAUUUCACCAGAGUAGACAUUCUCCUCUCCCGUGGCACGCCGGGAAGAUGAAGCUGGAUAGCUCCAUGGGGGUAUUAAGUACAGGUUCUAACACCAUUUCAUCCUGCUUGCCUUUGCCUGAAACAAACUCUCAGCUCAUCUCUGCUCUUGCACCUGGAGGCAACAAGGAAUGUACCUAAGCACAGUGUCUCCAGUUGUCUCUAAACAGCAACCUCAAGGAAGAGACGAGUCAUAAAGGAUGAACUCUACAUAUUCAAAUGUUUGAAAAUUGAAGGAGUGAGAUAUUUCCCCUCUGGAAAAUGCCUGAAGCUCUGCAUCAUUUGACUCUUAAAUAUAGUUAUUUUUCUACCACCUCAGAGGGAGGCUCUUUCUGGCAAGAGAUAAGGAAGUCUAACUAUCCAGUGUUCUCUCAAUGAAGAGAAAAUUUGAAUGUGAUGGCCAGCAAGAGAUCUGCAGGUACAAAAGGGGGCACUGGAGACUUCCAUAGCCCUUUUCUGCUGUAGUCAUGACUAAUCCAAGCCUUUUUCCACUUCCCUUUCUGACAAAAGCAACUGGGUCUUUAAUUGGGUCUCAUAAUUUCUCACUGAGUUGGAUUCAGAAUAAUGAGGCACUCACCAGUUUGGGCACAUUCCAUGUCCAUGGUCUUGUUGGUUUUACUAUUGUCUGUUCUCACAGAGGUUUAAGUGCAUAAACAAAUCCAAGCAAUGCAAACAUUCUGAAGGGAACAUGACUAGGAAUAGGUCCAGACCCUAAGCACUACUUGACAUCCUGAACAGAGGAUAUAUUGUUCCAGUAGACCUCCUCAUCCUAUCUGGCUCCUGACCCAAACCAAACAGAACUUUCCUUAGCUCCUCCAAGCUUCAGAGAAUAUGGUACUCUCAGCUCCUAACUCAGCAGCUUUCUGACAACCACAGCCAUCGUAAGAAAGAUGUCAUACAUUGGAAUACAGUAUACACACAUAUGCAUGCACACACACACACACACACACACACACUCAAACACACUUAUACACAACGUAACAGUCAAAGUGCAAUGUGUCCUGAUAUUUUCUGUUCUAUUUUGCUUAUCUUCCAGCCUUUGUUUAAAGCUGCUCAUAACCUACUAACCCAAUUUCAUGAGCCACUAAUGGGUCACAACCCACAGUUUGAAAAAUGUGACUCUAGGCUCUACCAGGGUUAUCAGAUAAAAUUGAGCCUGCCCCAUUCCCUAAACUCAUGGGAUAUCCUGGUCUCCACAUAUGAAAAUGUCUCUAACACCCUCUUACAGAGACACCUUUCUCAGUCCUCCUGGGCACUUUACUUCUUUUUUUGUUCUUUGUGAAUCUGACUUUAGUUGGCCUACGUUUGGGAUUCCCUGUGAAUCCUCCCUCCCAUUCUACGUGCCAUCAUUUCUUUGGUCCAUACUUCCUCUGACAGCUUUUGUUUCAUUAAUCACUGCCUCCCACUUGAGACACACCUCCACACAGCUCUAAGACACAUGAAAGAUGGCUGCAUGCCACCCUGUCAUGCUUUAAAACUUAAAUUCCUAAAGUCCAUGUUUGGAUAAAGAAUUCUGCCUCCACCAUUAGUGUUUAGACUUUAGACUUUAAUACACAUGUCAUUUCCCCACACAUCAUGGGAUUUAUUGAAAUUAUAUGUAGAAAUUAUUAAAAUAAUAAUAUGUAGGCCACUGCUUUGUUCUUGAAUGUGAACAGGAUGUGAUAAAGCCUUUUCCUAAGUGGAUGUUUUUACUGCUUUGAUAUGUUGCUUUGAAACACAUUUCUUCUUGAGGAGAAAUUGGAUCCCCGUGACCUGUUAGUGGUAAUGUAAAAUGGUGCAGCCUCUGUGGAAAACAGUAUGGUAUUUCCUAAAAAAUUAGGCAUAGAAUCCCUCUAUGAUUCAGUCAUUUCACUUCUGGGUAAAAACCCCCAAAUUGACAGUAGACACUAAAACAGAUAUUUGUGCUCCCAUGUUCUCAGCAGCAUUAUUUACAACAGCCAAAAGGUGGGAGUAACCCAAGUGUCAUUGGCAGAGGAAUGGAUAAACAAAAUGUGGCCUAUACAGACAAUGGAACAUUCUUCAGUCUUAAAACGGAGGGAAAUUCUGAUAGAUGCUACAACAUGGAUAAACCAUGAGGGCAUUAUGCUCAGUGAUCUAAGUCAGUCACAAAAGGACAAAUACCUCUUAUAUGAAGUAUCUAGAGUAGUAAAAUUCAUAGAGACAGAAGGUAGAAUGAUGGUUACCAGAGGCUGGGGGUAGUUAGUGUUUCAUGGGGACAGAGUUUCAGUUUGGAAAGAUGAAGGGUUCUGUGAAGGGCUGGUGGUAAUGGCAGUGGAAGGCCACUGCACUGGACACUUAAAAAGAGUUUAAAUGGUAAGUUUCAUGCUAUGUAUAUUUUACCACAAGUAAGCAAAGAACUUUUUAAAGACCUCGUAUCCUCUAGCACAGGCUCAGUGCUGAGGCGUAGAUGGGAGCAGGCAUGACCCAAAGGCCUAACCCAAAGUCUCCUAUUCUGAGUGGCAAAUUGCUAUGAUGUCUCUUGUUCUAUCCUGAUAUUCAUGCAAACUUUGCUUUCCUCCCCAUAAAGCUUCUGUUUGUUAUAGUACGGUAACAUUUUGGUUAUUUAUUUUGUGAACUCUUCGUGUAGAAAUGGUUCUAGUUAGAUGUGCCCAGUCAAAUCUCAUCUGAAACAGCAGGAACAUUUUCAUGUUUCACACAGGAAGAAGCCCUGAUGUAGGACAUUUCCAGGUUUGUGUAUGGCGGCUAUUCAAAGCCACCAUUAAGGGCCCAGAGUGCACUUUCCAGCUGGCCCUUCUGUGGGUCCAGCUUUGUUCUUGAACUGGUGCUCUCAGGGUUGCAAUAUGGCUGCUGCAGUUUCAGGCACCACCAGCACUCCAGACAAAUGUCCAUGUACAUGAACUUGUUGGUUACUUGAGUCUUUUUUUAACACUCAAGACCACUUUCCAGAAGCCACUCUCCAACCCUCCCUUCCUUUCUUAUCAGCCAGUCUGGAGCCAUAGGUCCAAGAGCAAUGGUUACUAAGAUUGUUUUUUUCUAACCAGGAUUCUCGUCCAGUCAUGAUGGGCUUAUUCUUAUUCUUUUUCUUUCUUUUUUUUUUUUAAAUCCUUCCCUUCCCUUCCC
Molecule: long non-coding RNA, 3753 nt
Organism: Felis catus (domestic cat)
Lineage: Eukaryota; Metazoa; Chordata; Mammalia; Carnivora; Felidae
Exons: 3
Source: RefSeq, a predicted model, not a curated record